RNAcentral lists this ribosomal RNA (1110 nucleotides) under Triticum aestivum (bread wheat). Its description in RNAcentral is "partial small subunit ribosomal RNA". Lineage: Eukaryota; Viridiplantae; Streptophyta; Magnoliopsida; Poales; Poaceae. The record is from RNAcentral.
AUGACGACGACAAAACACAACACCACCUGGCCUGGUGCAGCGCACACGUCACGUACUCCACUGAACCGGGUUUAUAUCAUCACCUCGCACCUGGCAAGUCCCAUCUCACCACGGUUCACUGCCAUAAUGGCUUCCGAGGACUCUGCCGCGCCCGUCGUCGUGGACGACUGCCGGGGCGUGCUGUUGGUGUACAGCGACGGGGCCGUGGUGCGCAGGGAUGGGCCGGGCUUCGCCACGCCGGUGCGGGACGACGGCACCGUGGAGUGGAAGGACGCCGAGUUCGACGCGCCCCGCGGGCUGGGACUCCGGCUCUACAGGCCGCGCCAGCGGAACCAGCUCCUACCGGUCUUCUUCUACUACCACGGCGGCGGCUUCUGCAUCGGCUCGCGCACCUGGCCCAACUGCCAGAACUACUGCCUCCGCCUCGCCGCCGAGCUCGGCGCCGUCGUGGUCGCCCCGGACUACCGCCUCGCCCCCGAGAACCGCCUCCCCGCGGCCAUCGACGACGGCGCCGCCGCCCUCCUCUGGCUUGCUUCGCAGGCCGGCCCCGCCGGCGACACAUGGCUGACCGAGGCCGCCGACUUUACUCGGGUGUUUAUCUCCGGUGACUCCGCGGGAGGCACCAUCGCCCACAACCUGGCCGUGCGUUUCGGCUCCGCGGCCGGGCGCUCUGAGCUGGGCAACGUCCGCGUCAGGGGCUACGUCCAACUCAUGCCCUUCUUCGGCGGCACAGAACGGACGAGGUCCGAGGCGGAGUGCCCCGACGACGCGUUCCUCAACCGCCCGCUCAACGACCGCUACUGGCGCCUCUCGCUGCCUCCCGGCGCCACGGUCGACCACCCGGCCUCCAACCCGUUCGGGCCUGACAGCCCGGCGCUGGAGGCGGUGGAGCUGGCCCCGACGCUGGUGGUGGUCGGAGGCCGCGACAUCCUCCGUGACAGGGCCGUGGACUACGCCGCGAGGCUGCGGGCGAUGGGGAAGCCGGUGGGGGUGAGGGAGUUCGAAGGGCAGCAGCACGGCUUCUUCACCAUCGACCCAUGGUCCGACGCGUCCGCGGAGCUCAUGCGCGCGCUCAAGCGCUUCAUCCACACCGACGGGCGCUUCGACUAG